RNAcentral lists this long non-coding RNA (8407 nucleotides) under Gallus gallus (chicken). Lineage: Eukaryota; Metazoa; Chordata; Aves; Galliformes; Phasianidae. The record is from RNAcentral.
AGAGCGGGAGCGGCUCGCAGCGGCUGUGGCCGUCCGGGUGGUGCGCACCUGGCGGCGGGCAGCGUGCGUUCCGUGUCUCUGGGCAGAGCGGUGCUGCCUGGGAGCGUGCCUCGUCCUUCAGCUGGCCCGUGAGAAACCGUUCCCUUCGGACGCAGCUUAGAACCGUACAGUUGGAAGGGACCGCUGAAGGUCAGUUCCCCCGUGCUGGCUGACCUCUGCCAUCGCUGGGCCGGCCGUGCUGUUCACACGUGCAUCCCCGCCUGUUUGGCGUGCUCGCUUCCCAGAGCCUGGCAGCGGCGUGAAGGGAAGAAGCUUUUGCGGACCGGUGGGCGGCAUUUUGUGUUGCUUUGCUGCGGGCCUCCUGAAUUCUGCCCCCUCCAGGAUGGAGGUACCCAUCUCCUCGGAGGGCUCCCAGGGUCUCUCCUGGAGAGUCCUCCUCGUCCUGGAGGCUGCGCGUGAGGUGCGCGAUGUAGGUGGUGGCCAGGAGGAGCACGUCCAGCUUGGAGAGCUUGGUGUCGGGCGGCACGGAGGGCAGCGUCUUCUGCAGCUCCAGGAAGGCAUGGCGCAGGGUCUGCACUCGGCUGCGCUCCCGUGCGGCGUUGGCGGCCGCGGGUCGCCCUGGGCCUGUCCCAGCCCGCUGCCCGACUGCGGGGGGUAGGCAGGGGCUGCUGCCUGCAGCUGGAGGUGGCAGCGACUCGGGCUCCGGGCUCAGGGUCUCCUUGCGGGCCUCAGGUAAAUGCCUACAGUCCAUGGGGGGCUUCCCCAGCAGGGAGUGGCCUGUAAGUGACAAGAGCAUCCAUGAGGCUGGUGGCCGUGGCUGAGGGCUCAUGGUGGUGGGUGAACCUCAGUGCCAGGCCGGAGCCGCCCAAGCUCCUCAUCACCCCUCACCCCAGGCCCACCGUGCUCCCGCUGCACUCACGCUGCAACACUGGGCCCGGUGUGCUGCUAGGAGGAGACUGGAAGCCCCACAGCCAGGAGUCACCAUGGGACCAGGAGCACUGCGGGGUGCAAACAGCAUCCAGGCUGCAAGCACAGCCCCCAGCGUGGCCCCUGCUGGGUACCAAGUACCCGUCUGCAACCUCCGCUUGAAAAUAAACACAGGUUGUGGGCAUGCACCAAGAAAGUUAUUGAGUGAACAUCAUAGUAUUUUCACCACCCAGAGAAGGAGAUAAAGCAUGGAGUCACAUUAUCUCCUGACUACAGAAAUGGAUGCCUUCUAGAAGCAACCCCUAUCAGAAAUGAGAGUGCUGCCAGCUCUGGGAAAGCCGAGGCUUCUAUACGUGGGUGUGAGUGACUUUUGGGCUCACUGUUCAUAAACCAGCUGGUUUGCUGCCACACGCAGGUACAGAGUCAGAACUUUCUGGAUGGUGCUGCGUGGAGCCAGGAGUUGGACUCGAUGGUCCUUCUGGGUCCCUUCCAACUUGGUAUAUUCUACGAUUCUAACUUACACCCUUAAAAAGACUGAUUUUUCUCUCAGCUGGUAUUACGGGGAGCGCUUUCUGUCAGUCACUCCAAGGAUGACAAAGGGGAAAAGAGCCAUAGACCACAGCACCCAUGUUUUGAAGGGGGAAGCUUGACAGCUCAAAAGGUUGGGAACAGUGUCCGCAUGUCCUUGUAAACCCAGCAGCACUCAACCCUUUCUAAGCUUGUCCUAUCGCUUUUGUUUUCUAACUUAAGAAUCGGAGUCCUGUAAGCUAUAUUUCGGCCAUCGGGGGGCAAAAGAAUCAUGUGAGAACAGCAAAAACCUUCCUUUGAGCAAAGCUGCAAUAACUGCUGAAAAGUUCUUUCCCAGCUUCCAGAAAAGACCGUGCCAAGCCCCCAUUCCUUGAGCUCAUUCAGCUCCCCAGCAAUAAAUGCUCCAUGCGCGUUCCCCGCAGUGAGACUCAUACCUGAGGCAGUCGCUCUUAUCCAAGCAGAGCUUCCGAGCUUCCUGGGCAGCUCCUGGCUUCCCUGCCUUGCAGAACUCUGUGCUGCCCUGGGCCAGCAGCAAAGGCACCUUACGAACGCAGUCAAAGACAAUGGGAUUUUAAACAUCUGAACAAAAAUCGAUGCACGUGAACGACUGAAGGUCUGCGUUUACAGAAGCCACACCUUGAUGCUGCAAAGCGUUUCAGCCCCACACUGAAGCCCCCAGAAGUCCCAUUGCAACCACAGUGGACGGCAGCAAAAAAGCCACAGCAGCGACCCAAAGCCAAUGACUGCAAUCAUUAUCAUCUAUGUACAGUAAAACCCAUGGAAAUCUACUUGAGCUCGGCCCGAAUGACAGCAAAAAAAACAGUCUUUAAACUGUUCGCUGUAACUUAAGCUGUGAUCAGGCAAUAGUGUAUUCUUUCCUGGUGUUUUCUCCCUCUGUUAAGCUGCAGUUGGCUCUGCAUGCCUCAUAGUGCCACAGACACCUCGGCUGCCACUGGGUCAGUAUGGUCAUAAACAAAAGCAGAGCGUGGUAGUGCUCCCAGCUUCAGCAGUGGCGUUUCUCGUUUGCACAGGGAUACAGACAGAGUGGGUUAGCAGCGCCGGUCCGUCUGCUAAAACACACUGAGGGCAGGUUUACGUGCAGUUAUGUCUCUGCAGCAUUGGUGUGCGGCAGAGCAGAGUCGUACCUCCUUGUGUACGACAGACAAGAUAGAAACGCACGUACCUGAGCACCUCAUCUCCUCAUGCGUCCCUCGGAAACCGGAGCUUCACAUCUGCAGGGGAUGAAGUCCUGGGCCUGAGGAAAGUCAGCAACAAUUCACCUGCGGAAAUCAGAGCUUUCAUUGGCUCCAACUUCAGCUCUGCGCCGUUGGCUUUUACUGAGUGCACACAGCACCGGCGUGGGACAACGUGACGCCCAGAAAGCCGGGCCGUCUGUGGGGAUGUGCUACGUUUGUGCUCACAUCCCAUGCGCUCGAAGCGGUGAUGGAGGAAAGAAGGGAGAAAAAAAAAAGAAGAAGAAAAGAGAGCGAAAAGCCCCGACGGGACACCAACCCGCACUUACCGUCCCAACCGCACCACCCGCCAGGCCCGGCCCGCCUCCUUUAUAAGCCGGCGGCGGCCGCAGCGCGGGGCCGGGCGCACCUGGCCCCGCCACCGCCCGCGGGCAGCGACCGCCCCUCGCCGGGGGGGGGGACGGCCCGUCAGCCGCGGUUGAGCCGCGCCGCGGCGUGGGUUGGAGCAGCGGGAUCGAAACGGCGGGCCGGGAGUCAAACGGUUUUUGUAGCGGGCUUUCCCUCCGCCCCAUCGCUCGUUCUUUCUCCGGCGUGUCCCGCGGCCGGCCGUCCCUCGGCCCCGCACACCCGUGGGCACCGGGCCGCUCCGAGGCGCGGGCGGGACGAGGUGCGAGGAGGGCCGGUCUGGAACCGAGCGGGGCCAUUGCGGAUCAGUGACGCUAAUGAGGAGGGACGGGGCAAAUAAACAGCGAGGGGAUCGAGUUCUCCCAGAAAAACAUUUUGAAUGGAGCCCGAUUUCACGAUAACGCAGGCACAAUAAAUCAAGCCUUGGGCGCGGUGGAGAAACGAAGUCCGAGCCAUUUGUCACUGCUUUUGCAGCCAAGAAAAUGACGAAGUUAAUCGCUAGCUGCGAGGGGGAGCCCGGGAAGGGGCGGUUUGGGGCAGGAGUGGGGCCGCCCCACAGACCCACAGCCCGUCCUGGGGGUGACGGCUGUCCUGCGGGCGGGCUGCACUGCAGGGGUUUCCCUUCUUCCUUCGGGAGUGGUUCUGACACAAAUCACUCCGUGCGGAUUUACAAGGCCGCAGUUACGGCCUUCGUGUGCACCGUGGAUCACAGCAUCGUGGAAUACCCCGAGUUGGAAGGGACCCGCAAGGAUCGUUGAGUCCAACUCGUGGCUCCACAUCCAAAAUCCAAACCCUGUGUCUGAGAGCACUGUCCGAACUCCAUGAACUCCAACAGCCCACUGCCCUGUGCAGCCCGUUCCAUGCCCACCGCCCUCUGGUGCAGACUCUGUCCCUCACCCCCACCCGCCCCUCCCCUGACACAGCUCCAUGCCGUUCCCUCGGGCCCUGUCGCUGUCACACAGAGCAGAGCUCAGCGCUGCCCCUCCGCUCCCUGUGAGGAGCUGCAGCCGCCAUCAGGCCUCCCCUCAGCUCCUCUGCUCUGCGCUGAGCAAACCAAGGGGCCUCAGCUGCUCCUCACACACCUUGCCCUACAGACCCUUCCCCAUCUCUGUCGCCCUCCUUUGGAUGCUCUCUAAUAGUUUUGUGCCCUCUUUAUGCUGAGGCACCCAAACCUGCACCUGCUGCUUGAGAUGAGGCUGCACAGCAGAGAGCAGAGUAGGACGAUCCCUUCCCUCACCAUCCAGCAGCUGGGCCCGACCCAUCAGCAUGCUGGGCCCGGGAGAAUGACGGCUGUGGCUCCCUGGAGGCUGAUGGAGCACCCCCAGGAGCUCCUCUUUCCUUCCCUGAUGGCCACAGGAGCCCCGGAUCGUGCACACACAUCAGGGGGGUGGUUCUGCCACACCCCAAGGCAGUGUCCUUGCCUGCCCAAGACAUGUCCGUUCAGAAUGGGCUUUUAACUUCUUGCAUUGCAACAAGGAAAACAGAUCCAAUGAUUUUUCCUUGCAUCGACUGUUCAAGUGCAACAGGCUGCUGCAGCUACUGCUGCUUCUCUCCCAGAGAAAUAAAUGCCUGAGUCGCUCCCUUGCCUUACCUUCUACACUGUAUUUCAGAUGUGAGAAAUGCCCCGGUCACAGAAGAGCCAGAUUUCAAGUGUGAUUUAGGUAAGGAACAGCUCUGCUGGAGACAGUGUGAUAUUUUUCCAGGCACGCCUUGCUCCCUUCGUGUCACAUUGCUCUCUGCUUUUAGAGCUCCGGUUCGGUGUGAACACCCGUGGCACUUUGCUCCACUUUGUUCAUUUUCACCCAUUCUUAUUUCUCUGAUAAGAACUUACUUAAAAAAAUGUGUUUGCCCGCUGAUGAGGUACAGCAUGAAUAUUAACACCACUGACUGCAGUGCGGCGUGAGCUGCUGGUCUGGGGAACCUGUGUGAAACCCCACAGCCCAUUCCAGGCAGGGGACUUAAAUAUGUGUAUAAAUAAUAAACUAAAAUCUUAAAGUGAGAGUUGAAAAUACUCAGAACCUAUGAAAACUGUCACACGCCGGAUGACUCACAGCAAAACCCACACUGAGAUGUACUAAAGAUGCAUUCAAUGUUUUUAAGUGGAGAUGUGCAAGGGUGGAAAGGCAUCCCCAGAUAACACCACGCUACAAAGGCCAGAGGGCAGCUUUCCAAUGCCAUGCAUUGAAUCCAGCAGCUGUCAGUGUCCAACGCUCACCAAAAUAUUAACAUUUGUCUUUGGGAAUUGUCUUAACGAGAAGCAGCGUUUACAGUUCUGUCUUCCUGGAGCUGAAUAUCACAGAUGAUGGCAGCAAAACCCAGAAGUUCCGCACUGGGUCAGUACUGAUUUCAGUAAUGGACUAAAAGCAGCAGUCACACGUCAGAACUUUUUUCAUUGUUUCAUUGCUUUCUGUUGUUGUUGUUGUCGUCGUUCUGACGCUGAACUACUCAAAGGCUUUAAUGGAAGCAAAUGGCAGCUCCAGGUUGGGAUACCACUCAAUUAGUACAUUCGUUUUGGAAAUCUGUUUCUUUGUAUCUUGUAACUCAGGGAGAACGCAUACGAGAGUUAAAUUUGUUGCAAUUGCAUUUAUCUAAAGACAACACAAUGACAACAAAAUACACAAAACGCUGAAUGUAAAAAGACAGAUCCUGAUUUUCUAAUUCAGGGAAGAUUCCUUCCUUAUUUCAGGGAGGGUCUCAAGCACGGGACGUCGUACUGACGUUCAGACAGAGAAACUCCAUUAGGAAAGGUUUCAUGCCAGGGGCAAUUCACAGUCCAUACUUUCCUUAUCUGUACGUUUGGAGUUUUCCUGUAUCUGAAGACUUGAGCACUCCAUCUGAUUACUCAAACCAGUGCAAAGCAGCCAAACUCAAGUCCCGGCUACAUAAAGCAGAAGCUGAAGUCAAAUUAAUGUGCAGUAUUCCCAAUCCAAAAAUUCAUCAGUACAGAAACCAUCAAUCUUGUUGAGCUUUCUUCUAACUAUUCCACUUCGGUUACCAGAAACUGGACAAAUCCUAAUUGUGGAAAUAACUUUUUAGGACUACGACUCUCCUCACACACCACGUGCUGGUGGCUCUCUUGUUGCACUAUGGGACUAUUAGCACGCCUCUGUGUCAUUGUUAAGAGUAUCGUACGUGGGAGCAGCCUAAGACACUGCUUAAAGGCACCUCAUUUCCUGAGGAAGGUUCGGAAGAAGGCAACUAGUUUAGCCCACUAAAUAAGUGCUGAUAUUUUCACAUGCUUACAGUACAGAACGUCGCUUCUAAAUAAAUCGGCAGUCACCUUACAUUUUGGGAUGCUCUCGCAAGGCAGUGUUAAGUUCAACAUACUUAUCUGCUUUUUAGAUUAUAAAGACACAGAUAACAUAUUCAAGUAGAUGUCAAUAACUUUCUUUUCAGUUUUGAGAAGGAAAAAAAAAUCCAAUAAUGGCCGACUGUGCAUCCUGUAGCUUCUGCCUUGUAGAAUUCAGCUCGGCUCUGCCGUUACUUCAGGUUCCUCCUCAACCUGCAUCAGAGAGAUCAGAGAAGAGAGAUCAGACCGUUACGCCCAAAGCGCACCAAAGCCACUCUUGCUUCCUUCUUCCUCAACGUGUCUCAGGACCACACCGCGUGUCUACAAAGGUUAUGAUCAGUGUUACCAGAGCUGCAGGUGAAAAAGGAAUGCAAUGUGCUUGGUCCUGCCCUGCUGUGAGGAUAUCAACCUAAUCUGAUGAUCUGGGAUAUGAAGGGGCCCUUAACACAGAGCUGACCAGCUUUUUCCAUAUACGCUCAGAAAUGGCGACAGCUGACAAUUUGGUCAGCCAUCGAGUUUGUAUCAAAUACUGUUGAUUUUCAAGUUCCACGAGAAAUAAAACCUUACCAAUAGUCAAAGCAAUUUCUCAUCUAAAUGAAAUCAGAUAAGACUAAGUCAUUUACUCCAAAAUAUUUUACGACAAAUGACGUGUAACCGAUUACAUCCAACUUUACUAGGCAUGUUAUCAGUGAUUAAUAUCACACUCUAAUAUAUUAACUCUCUAAGAAAGGAAGAUCUUAUUGUUCCAAAGCUCUUUCUGAAUUAAAUUAUUAGUUUGCUACGUGGGUCAUUUCACAGCUGGCUCUGACUUUUCUUGGUUUCAAUGCAGCAAUUAAUUCUGCUCAGAAUUAAGGGAACAGAAAGAUGUCAUUAUUUGUGCAGUCUCUGGUUACAGCGUUACUCGAGAUCGAGAGAGAUUCAAAUACGUCUUUUUAUAGCACUGAACUUUUACAAUCCUUCAAGGUCAGGUGACUGACGAAAUAAAAACGUAGACAGUGAUGACAAAGUGUGAGUAUCCCUACGUAUAGCCUGACGAAGGUCAGAGGAGCACCAGGAGGAGGUAUUCAAGCAGUUCUGCUUUACUUUGUUUCCCUGUUCGUACUGAUAACAGAACAACCACCUCCAAAACCACCGUGGGUUGCUCUGGAAGCAUCAGGGUCUUUAUGGAAAGGCCCGGCCUCAGACCUCCCAGGUCUGCGGUCUCUGUAAUGUGUUUAUAUCACUGCAGUUAAUGGGUGUAUUGAAACUGGCUUCAGCUGCAGAGCUCCCAGAGUUAUACCACGGUUUUACAGAAGUUAUUAAAGCACAGCACCAGUUAUUUACAUUGUUAAUUGGGUGGAUGCUUUGUGCAUAGAAGUGACUUCUACAGUCUUGUACAUUACACAAUAAAAAUGUGCAGUGCUGAGGCAGCAGACUAAAAAGAUCUUACAAAGCUUUGAAUGUUUAUCACAACAGACUGUUCAAGGACUGACAACAGAGACCUAAGGAUAGGAAGAAUACCACGUAGUGUAAACCUGUUUCAUUUAUCUAAUAACUUUUAUAAUGCAGAUACCGUAACACCUGAGAAAUAGAUAUGUAAAGUUUAAUUUUUACUUUUUUUCCUACCCUGUGGUACUUUAUUCCACUUUAAAAUCACUGAACAGCCCUCUGUAUGUAUCUCUGUUAAAAAUGUUAUUAGUAAAAUACUUGUGUACGUUACGUGGAAGGUUUCAAGCAGUCUGCGUUUCAGUGUUGGUGUGAGCAUACAGCAGGUCUGCACACAACAGCCUCCAGACCCAGAUGUGCCCUACUAAUUUCCUGACCCCUCGUUAUGUGCCAAGUUGCACGUGCCUUUUGGUCUUCUAAGGUCAGGGAGAUAACACACAUCUCCUGGAAGAGGAGGCAGACUAAUGCAGGCAGAUGUGCCCCUGCCCCCCUGCCCAUAAGCAUACAGCUCCCAAUGAGGUCGUGCCUGUAAGGAAUGUGCUCAUCCAGACGUGGAGGGAUGUGUGGUCUGGCUGACAAAGCUCAUCAGGAGAUAUGCACCCUCAUUCAGCUAUCUGAGAAAGGAUUUCUUCUUUUCAAG